AGUGAACGCUGGCGGUAGGCCUAACACAUGCAAGUCGAACGGCAGCACAGUAAGAGCUUGCUCUUACGGGUGGCGAGUGGCGGACGGGUGAGGAAUACAUCGGAAUCUACUUUUUCGUGGGGGAUAACGUAGGGAAACUUACGCUAAUACCGCAUACGACCUACGGGUGAAAGCAUGGGAUCUUCGGACCUUGCGCGAUUGAAUGAGCCGAUGUCGGGUUAGCUAGUUGGCGGGGUAAAGGCCCACCAAGGCGACGAUCCGUAGCUGGUCUGAGAGGAUGAUCAGCGACACUGGAACUGAGACACGGUCCAGACUCCUACGGGAGGCAGCGGUGGGGAAUAUUGGAAAAUGGGCGCAAGCCUGCUCCAGCCAUACCGCGUGGGUGAAGAAGGCCUUCGGGUUGUAAAGCCCUUUUGUUGGGAAAGAAAAGCAGCAGGUUAAUACCCCGCUGUUCGGAGGGAACCCAAAGAAUAAGCACCGCCUAACUUCGG
This 491-nucleotide ribosomal RNA is filed under the name uncultured bacterium. Its description in RNAcentral is "partial 16S ribosomal RNA". It matches the Rfam family "Bacterial small subunit ribosomal RNA", at positions 29 to 506 of the family's 1533-position model. The record is from RNAcentral.